GACGAACGCUGGCGGCGUGCUUAACACAUGCAAGUCGAACGGAAAGGCCCUGCUUUUGUGGGGUGCUCGAGUGGCGAACGGGUGAGUAACACGUGAGUAACCUGCCCUUGACUUUGGGAUAACUUCAGGAAACUGGGGCUAAUACCGGAUAGGAUCUCCUGCUGCAUGGUGGGGGUUGGAAAGUUUCGGCGGUUGGGGAUGGACUCGCGGCUUAUCAGCUUGUUGGUGGGGUAGUGGCUUACCAAGGCUUUGACGGGUAGCCGGCCUGAGAGGGUGACCGGCCACAUUGGGACUGAGAGACGGCCCAGACUCCUACGGGAGGCAGCAGGGGGGAAUAUUGCACAAUGGGCGGAAGCCUGAUGCAGCAACGCCGCGUGCGGGAUGACGGCCUUCGGGUUGUAAACCGCUUUCGCCUGUGACGAAGCGUGAGUGACGGUAAUGGGUAAAGAAGCACCGGCUAACUACGUG
RNAcentral lists this ribosomal RNA (468 nucleotides) under uncultured bacterium. RNAcentral's name for it is "partial 16S ribosomal RNA". It matches the Rfam family "Bacterial small subunit ribosomal RNA", at positions 28 to 507 of the family's 1533-position model. The record is from RNAcentral.